UCGGCGGAGCGGCGGACGGCUGAGUAACGCGUGGGAAUCUGCCCCAAAGUGAGGGAUAACUGCCCGAAAGGGUAAGCUAAUACCGCACAUGGUCUUCGGAUUAAAGCAUUUAUGCGCUUUGGGAGGAGCCCGCGUCGGAUUAGGUAGUUGGUAGGGUAAUGGCCUACCAAGCCGACGAUCCGUAGCUGGUCUGAGAGGAUGAUCAGCCAGACUGGGACUGAGACACGGCCCAG
This 233-nucleotide ribosomal RNA is filed under the name uncultured bacterium. RNAcentral describes it as "partial 16S ribosomal RNA". It matches the Rfam family "Bacterial small subunit ribosomal RNA", at positions 87 to 334 of the family's 1533-position model. The record is from RNAcentral.